RNAcentral lists this ribosomal RNA (253 nucleotides) under uncultured bacterium. RNAcentral describes it as "partial 16S ribosomal RNA". It matches the Rfam family "Bacterial small subunit ribosomal RNA", at positions 524 to 776 of the family's 1533-position model. The record is from RNAcentral.
UACGUAGGUGGCAAGCGUUGUCCGGAAUUAUUGGGCGUAAAGCGCGUGUAGGCGGCCCUGCAAGUCGGGUGUGAAAUCCCACGGCUCAACCGUGGAAGUGCACUCGAAACUGCAGGGCUAGAGUCCUGGAGAGGAAGGUGGAAUGCUUGGUGUAAAGGUGAAAUUCGUAGAUAUCAAGCGGAACACCGGUGGCGAAGGCGGCCUUCUGGACAGUGACUGACGCUGAGACGCGAAAGCGUGGGGAGCAAACAGG